ACCAAACGACCCUUAUCCCCACCCCCUUUCUCUUUCUUUCCCUUUCCUUGCAAACCCUAAAGCUGCCACCUACACUCUCUCUUUCUCUCUCAUCUAAAAAUGGUAAAAUCACAGAGCGGAUAGAAGAUACGCAACUUUUGUUGAGUCAUUUACAUGAAACAAUUAAAUUCAAGCUUUGUUUUCACACGAAUCUCUCCCAAACGCGUUUGAGUUAGAGAUUUAGAAGCACAAAGGCUUCAAGUUGCUCACAGCUGUGCAAAAAAGAGGUAAUUUUUUUUUAUCAUUUUAUUGCUUUAUCUUUAAUUUUGUUCUUAGUCUAGGUUUUAGUCGAAUUGAAUUAGUUGCUGAUUUAGUAUUAGUACAAAUAUUAUGAUCCUGUUAAAUAUGUGUCUUGUGCCAAAAUAUUAGUUAGCAGAAUAUUUAAGUACGUGGACUUGAUUAGUCUUUAAGUAGUGUUUUGAUUAUUGUAUAAUCAUUUAGAUAUUUAGCAUGCCUGAUGCGUGAUACCUGAGCCUUAAUAACACUGGUGAGGGUUGAUUAAUAAUGAAUAAUGCAUAAUCUCACUUUCAAAGGUUAUCCUGUAGUUUUAUGCCUAGUCUGGCUAUUGAUAAGGGCCUGUCCAGUUGGGAUAUCCUUAAUAUGAGUUAUGCUUGGUUAAAGGUUCUUUCCUAAGAUUGCCAAGUUAGCUUUAGGGUGUCUUUAAUGUGUGUGUGUUUAUGGUUAAUCAUCAAUGCAUCUUGUGACUUGAUCCAGUUCCGUUUAGUUUGUAUGCAAUCCUUAAUGAUGGAGACAAUUAAUGGCUAUUCAUUUAGAUCACUGAACUUGGUUAUAAUACUUGAUGUUUGGAUUAAAAUAAACCUACUAACUUACUUAAGUGUACCUUAGGGAUUAGUUGACUGAGCUAGGUGAUACACAUUAGCUUGAGGAUUGUAGGCAUUGAUUAAAACUGGAAAGUGAGAAAGACUUCAAGUAGGUGUUUGAUUACUGGUUACUGAAAAUGAGUCAAAUGUUUUAUUUGGAUAGUGUAAUAAGUUGUAAGGACCCUCUAAUAUCUGUUUAGACUUAAUUCAUGACAAAGACUCACAUAGGGUGAGUGUAUGCAUUAGUUUCGUCUUGUCUAUGCUUAAAUUGGGUUCUUAAGACACUAGAAUGCUAAAGAAAGGAAAAGAGGAGUAGCUUAAGUUUGUCUGGAUCUUGAGUAUGUACUAUUUAUCAUUAUAGGAUUUAUAUUUAGAGGUAAAGUUCACUAUAUGAUUUGUUUAUAAGUGCAAGUGUCCUGUUUUAAUUGUUUCAUCUAUACAUGACAUUUAAGGAAUCUGUUUCAAUGUUGAUCAAGUCCCUCAUCUCUGAGAACCUGGCAACACUGGGAAUUUUAAGAAAGUCUGCUUGGAUUAAAGAUUUUAAGGAUAAAUAUCAAAGCUACACUAGUCCAUCUAAGUAUGUUUAAAUCACUUGUGCCUAUGAAUUGUCUCUGCAUCCUUCCUGGAGGACCUGAUUUCAUUAGAUGAGAACUAGAACUAGAACUGUUCAGCAUGUGUAACUGUUACAUAAUUACAUAUGAGCCUGAUUAGGCCUUAGUAAUAAAAAAUUGCUCAAAUCUCUAUCUAAAUGGUUCUGUCUGCUUGAGAAUGUGUGUACCUGAACCUAUUUGAGUACCUGGUUAAGAAAUGGUUUUAAUGGCAUGAUUUUGUAUGGUCAAUAGGAUUUAUGAGUAGACUAAACCACAUUGUAUAAAGGAGCCUUUUAAAGAGUACCCUGGGAGAGGAUUAAGGGGAACCAGGCAUAUCUUGGUUCAUAAUACCUUUCCUCCACAUAAAAGGCACCACGACACUUCUAUAAGUCUAUGGGAGGCACAUGUUUACUACAUAGAUGCCUUAUUAUCUUACAAAUUUUGUCAUUAAACCAACAGGGUUGGGUUGUUAAGCCCAAUGAUUUAAAACUGUGUAUAUGCUCCUGUAUCUUAUAUAUAUGUGUAAUAUAUCUAUGUAUAUACAUAGACUCAAUAAGUUCAAUAAAUUGAAACUAACCGCUAUUUUCUUAUCAUUCUCCCCCCACUGCAUGACCAUUCGGGCCAAGUCGAGCCAACCUGUUGGGCCUUGACCCAACAUGCAAAUUCUUUCUCAAUCAUCGAGUCCGAGAAGAAAAAAUGGAAGCUAACAUAUACACAUAGAAGGCCCAGCCAUGGGUGAAAAUGGCCAACUAGGGGUUUGGUUCGCCCCUAGCCUUCCCCUCCUUUUAUUUAGUUUAUUUAUGCUUUCCUUUAUUUGCAAUUUUGUUGUCUUUGUGUUUAUGAACUUGUAAAAACUCUAUUAUAGGAUCUUUGUGUUUUGAACUAGCCGUCUUAGGACAA
Lycium barbarum (goji berry) is the source of this 2350-nucleotide long non-coding RNA. RefSeq lists it as uncharacterized. Lineage: Eukaryota; Viridiplantae; Streptophyta; Magnoliopsida; Solanales; Solanaceae. The record is from RefSeq and is a predicted model, not a curated record. The transcript has 2 exons.